UUCAGCUGGGCACUCUAAUGAGACUGCCGGUGACAAACCGGAGGAAGGUGGGGAUGACGUCAAGUCCUCAUGGCCCUUAUAGGUGGGGCUACACACGUCAUACAAUGGCUGGUACAAAGGGUUACCAACCCGCGAGGGGGAGCUAAUCCUCAUAAAACCAGUCGUAGUCCGGAUCGCAGUCUGCAACUCGACUGCGUGAAGUCGGAAUCGCUAGUAAUCGUGGAUCAGAAUGUCACGGUGAAUACGUUCCCGGGUCUUGUACACACCGCCCGUCAC
Molecule: ribosomal RNA, 276 nt
Filed under: Variovorax sp.
Lineage: Bacteria; Pseudomonadati; Pseudomonadota; Betaproteobacteria; Burkholderiales; Comamonadaceae
Description: partial 16S ribosomal RNA
Rfam family: Bacterial small subunit ribosomal RNA
Source: RNAcentral